RNAcentral lists this ribosomal RNA (259 nucleotides) under uncultured archaeon. RNAcentral describes it as "partial 16S ribosomal RNA". It matches the Rfam family "Archaeal small subunit ribosomal RNA", at positions 748 to 1009 of the family's 1478-position model. The record is from RNAcentral.
CAGCCGUAAACUAUGCUCGCUAGGUGUCAGGCAUGGCGCGACCGUGUCUGGUGCCGCAGGGAAGCCGUGAAGCGAGCCACCUGGGUAGUACGGCCGCAAGGCUGAAACUUAAGGAUUGGCGGGGGAGCACAACAACGGGUGGAGCCUGCGGUUUAAUUGGACUCAACGCCGGACAACUCACCGGGAACGACAGCAAUAUGUAGGCCAGGCUGAAGACCUUGCCUGAAUCGCUGAGAGGUGGUGCAUGGCGUAGACGUCU